This 432-nucleotide ribosomal RNA is filed under the name uncultured bacterium. RNAcentral's name for it is "partial 16S ribosomal RNA". It matches the Rfam family "Bacterial small subunit ribosomal RNA", at positions 29 to 506 of the family's 1533-position model. The record is from RNAcentral.
AACGAACGCUGGCGGCAUGCCUAACACAUGCAAGUCGAACGAGACCUUCGGGUCUAGUGGCGCACGGGUGCGUAACGCGUGGGAACCUGCCCUUAGGUUCGGAAUAACUCCCCGAAAGGGGUGCUAAUACCGGAUAAUGUCUUCGGACCAAAGAUUUAUCGCCUUUGGAUGGGCCCGCGUUGGAUUAGCUAGUUGGUAGGGUAAAAGCCUACCAAGGCGACGAUCCAUAGCUGGUCUGAGAGGAUGAUCAGCCACACUGGGACUGAGACACGGCCCAGACCCCUACGGGAGGCGGGAGGGGGGAAUAUUGGACAAGGGGCGAAAGCCUGACCCGGCAAUGCCGGGGGAGUGAUGAAGGCCUUGGGGUUGAAAAGCUCUUUUACCCGGGAUGAAAAGGAAAGAACGGGGAAAAGAAGCCCCGGCAAACCCCGG